RNAcentral lists this ribosomal RNA (526 nucleotides) under Asiosilis sp. UPOL 000M13. Its description in RNAcentral is "partial 16S ribosomal RNA". The stretch from base 391 to 526 matches the Rfam family "Bacterial large subunit ribosomal RNA", at positions 2473 to 2610 of the family's 2925-position model. Lineage: Eukaryota; Metazoa; Arthropoda; Insecta; Coleoptera; Cantharidae. The record is from RNAcentral.
CAUGUCUUUUUGAAUUUAAUUUAAAGUCUAAUCUGCUCAAUGAUCUUAUUUUAAAUAGCUGCAGUAUUUUGACUGUACAAAGGUAGCAUAAUAAUUAGUCUUUUAAUUGAAGACUGGUAUGAAUGAUUGGACGAGAGAAUUUCUGUCUUUUAAUUAAUUAUUUUGAAUUUAACUUUUUAGUAAAAAGGCUUAAAUGAAUUUAAAAGACGAGAAGACCCUAUAGAGUUUUACAUAUUAUUAUUAUAUAGUUUUUAGAAUUAUGAUUAUUAUAUAUUAUAAAUUAUGUUUAAUUGGGGAGAUUAAAAAAUUUAAUAAACUUUUUUAUAGAUUUUAAUUAUUGAUUUAUAAUUUUUUUAUCUAGUUUUUAAAUUUAAAAUAAAUUACCUUAGGGAUAACAGCGUUAUAUUUUUUAGAAGUUCUUAUUUUAAAAUAUAUUUGCACCUCGAUGUUGGAUUAAAAUAAAUUUUUAGCGCAAGAGCUAUAUAAUUAAGUCUGUUCGACUUUUAAAAUUUUACAUGAUCUGAGU